Molecule: ribosomal RNA, 434 nt
Filed under: uncultured Pseudoflavonifractor sp.
Lineage: Bacteria; Bacillati; Bacillota; Clostridia; Eubacteriales; Oscillospiraceae
Description: partial 16S ribosomal RNA
Rfam family: Bacterial small subunit ribosomal RNA
Source: RNAcentral
ACGGGAGGCAGCAGUGGGGAAUAUUGGGCAAUGGGCGCAAGCCUGACCCAGUAAUGCCGCGUGAAGGAAGAAGGCUUUCGGGUUGUAAACUUCUUUUAAGUGGGACGAUAAUGACGGUACCACUUGAAUAAGCUCCGGCUAACUACGUGCCAGCAGCCGCGGUAAUACGUAGGGAGCAAGCGUUAUCCGGAUUUACUGGGUGUAAAGGGCGUGUAGGCGGGACAUCAAGUCAGAUGUGAAAGCACGAAGCUCAACUUCGUGUCUGCAUUUGAAACUGAUGUUCUUGAGUGUUGGAGAGGCUAACGGAAUUCCUAGUGUAGCGGUGAAAUGCGUAGAUAUUAGGAGGAACACCGGUGGCGAAGGCGAUUUACUGGACGACAACUGACGCUGAGACACGAAAGUAUGGGGAGCAAACAGGAUUAGAUACCCUGGUA